Molecule: non-coding RNA, 67 nt
Organism: Paramuricea clavata
Lineage: Eukaryota; Metazoa; Cnidaria; Anthozoa; Malacalcyonacea; Plexauridae
Source: the annotation of a GenBank genome assembly
GCGGGCGAGGCAUUGUAUAGUUGUAUUUAUUUCCUGAAAUAAUACAACUAUACAAUGCCUCGCCCGC